Long non-coding RNA from Brassica oleracea var. oleracea, 281 nucleotides. RefSeq lists it as uncharacterized. The record is from RefSeq and is a predicted model, not a curated record. The transcript is spliced from 3 exons. Lineage: Eukaryota; Viridiplantae; Streptophyta; Magnoliopsida; Brassicales; Brassicaceae.
UCUUUAGUGAACUGUGUAAGAUGUUGGAUCCAGGAAAGCCUGCGUUUAAGGUGCUGGUAAAACCACAACGUGUACCAAGUAUGCUUAUUAUCAUCAGAAGAAAAGCUACAAACCCGCUCUGGUGUGUGCGGAUACUUUCAGGGCUGGUGCUUUCGAUCAGCUGAAACAGAAUGCCACCAAGGCUAGGAUCCCCUUUUAUGGAAGCUACACGGAAUCCGAUCCUGUGAAAAUUGUUGUUGAGGGAGUUGAUACGUUUAAGAAAGAAAACUGUGAUCUUAUUA